AUGGCACUCAUCUUGAACGGAGAUGGUACAUGCUCCAUGGUCUACCCCGAGGGCACCACGCCGAUCUGGCUCCGCCCGGCUGACCGCCCCAAAGCCGAUCCAACACUUUCCCCACCCAAGUCGGUCCUCCUCGACACCUUGGGGUACGUCGACGACGAAUGCAACGAUACCACGGCCGAGCACGUCGCCGAGGACGGCAAGUGCAUCCAGGUGACCUUCUGGAUGUACCACCCGCCGCUAGUCUCGUAUUUUACCAUCCACUCCCCCGGCCUGAAACCUGACGCGUACCCGGAGAUGCCAAAGAUUCUGGCGACGGACGGCCACCUUGCGCUGCUCCGCAUCCCCCGCUUACCAGUAAACCCCUUCAGCGAUCAGCCCGCUAACCAGUUCUUCAUCUACCGGGUCGGCAGCAGCACUGGCGAGAAGCAGCCGUCGCUUCGUAUGCUCCCCAACCCCUCUAAGCUCGUAAUUCGCGACCGUAAUGUUGGUUUCCUGAACUACGGCACUCGCGACCAGGCCGACUAUAGGUUCUUCGCUGCUGCGUUCUACGCAGCGCACCCACUCAGACCUGGCGGCUCCGUGAAGUUCUAUAUCAACCUGUUCGACUCAGAGACCUGGGAAUGGACCAGAAAGGAGGUUUUUGUCAAUUCACCUGACGCUUACCGUUACAGGAUCACAAACAAGGUGAUCACUAUUGGAGGACAGCAUGGCUCAAUUGCCUGGGUCGACCUCUCACAUGGUAUCCUCAUCUAUGACGCGCUCCUGCACAACAAUAUUCUCCGUUACAUUCCGUUGCCGCCUUCGGAGUUGCCCGACCCCAGAAUCAACUCUGUGCGUGACAUGGCUGCCGUCGAUGGCUGCCUCAAGUAUGUCAGCAUGAGCUACCCUCCUUUGACCCAAAGCAGCACUAGCUACUACUUCGGAGAUUGGAAAGCCAAGGCAUGGAAGAUGGCAAUGCAUCCUUCAGGGACCUGCCCAAUUUCAAGGCAAUGGAAGGAGGACUACCAUCUCAGAGCUUCGGAGAUCAUGAUUGAUGACCCGAGCCAUCUUGAGCUGCUGCCUGAUCUGCCCAACAGUUUUAACAAGAAGCAGGUCCUGACGAAGCUCCACACAGGCAGUCCUGCUGUGAGCUUGCAUGAUGAUGGCAUUGUUUACAUCAUGACCAAGGUUGAGUUCUCAGAUCGCAACGCAUGGGUGCUUGCUGUCAACACGAGCACCAAGGCUCUCCAAGCGGUGGGUGAGUUUGACGCUGAAAGAUGCAUGGGUUUCAGUUACACCUACACUCAAAGUGGGAUCUCCAAACAUAUGGUGUUGAGUUAA
Molecule: ribosomal RNA, 1320 nt
Filed under: Triticum aestivum (bread wheat)
Lineage: Eukaryota; Viridiplantae; Streptophyta; Magnoliopsida; Poales; Poaceae
Description: partial small subunit ribosomal RNA
Source: RNAcentral